Molecule: transfer RNA, 72 nt
Filed under: Patescibacteria group bacterium
Lineage: Bacteria
Description: tRNA-Cys
Rfam family: tRNA
About the family: Transfer RNA (tRNA) molecules are approximately 80 nucleotides in length. Their secondary structure includes four short double-helical elements and three loops (D, anti-codon, and T loops).
Source: RNAcentral
GGCCUGGUAGCCAAGUGGUAAGGCGAGGGUCUGCAAAACCCUUAUUCGCGAGUUCGAACCUCGCCCAGGCCU